GGGGACAUUGUUUGCUUUCAAAGAUGUCUUCCAUUUGGAUAUCAUCUGAAAUAUCAGUAUCCGGAUGUUCAUUCAUUUCUGGAACACAAAUCUAACUGCCUGGAAAAAUCACUUCCAAUACUUGAAUGUAAGUGGAAUACCUGAAAUCAUAUCCCUGUUCUUGUUAUUUAUUUAUUUUUUUUCGCCUUUACUUGUGUGCUUCAUAUUCUCUUGCAAAUUCCAUUGAAACAAUUUUUUAUUUUUGGUAAAUUAUUACAGUUUUGGAGAUUAUUUCUUAGUUUAUCAACGGUGUAAUACCGUGGCUGAGUUAGGAGCAACUUCAUUAAGGCUAAACAAUAUAUUAACCACUGACAAAUAUAUCCUUUAGUGCUCAUCUGAUAAUCGGUAUUAGACAAGACUAGAAUGGAUAAUAGAUAAAAAAUUUAACUUCUCUUCUUCUUUAGCUAUGUUCAGUGCUAUGCAUCCGAUUUAUCUUCUCAAACACGUCAUUAAUUUCUCUAUAAAUGAGAGAACCCUCCCCACCCCCACAAUCAAGAAGCUGGAGGGGCCCUCCAUGCCCAAGUGCUGAUAAGGAUUCACUAGCUGCUCCCAAAUUUAUCAGGCAUAUAUUUUUAUUGUUGCAGGUACGGGGAAGCAAGCAUAGAGAAAGAUGCACUUGCAAGAUUACUUGCUUUUGGCCUCUAGAAUGGAAGUCUGUGUUAGAUCUUUCAGUUUGGCUACCAGUAAUGGAGAAUUUGAUGCUCUAGUCACAUAAUAACAACCUUUGAUUGGGAUAUUUGAUCAAAGGUAAAGCUGUUUAUUAUCUGUAAAAUAUGAACUUUACUCGGAAAUAACUGAGGAUGGUUCGUCGACUCUCACUUGGAUUUAGAUUAUGUUGUAAUAAUCAAUGAUGC
This 893-nucleotide long non-coding RNA is filed under the name Olea europaea subsp. europaea. Lineage: Eukaryota; Viridiplantae; Streptophyta; Magnoliopsida; Lamiales; Oleaceae. The record is from RNAcentral.